This 5015-nucleotide unclassified non-coding RNA is filed under the name Leishmania donovani. Its description in RNAcentral is "gene:LdHU3.27.2390(CDS-product:Hereditary_spastic _paraplegia_protein_strumpellin_putative)". The record is from RNAcentral. Lineage: Eukaryota; Euglenozoa; Kinetoplastea; Trypanosomatida; Trypanosomatidae.
CCACACGCAUACACACACACACACGUAGUGUGGAGUGUGCGUGCGUGUCACCUCUUCUCUGUGCGGCCCCCUCUCCUCCCCCCACCACACACACACACACUCCCAAGCACCGAUAGAGCUGCUCAGUGCUGCAGACGGGCGUUUGCUUCCUUUUCUCUCUUCGUUUGCUUUGCCACCACGCUGACGGCACCGAUGGUGCAUCGCAGUCGGGCCACCGCCGACCCCUCCUCCGAUCAUGAGGAACGCGUCAACUUCCUCGACGACGACUGUGGCCGCAACGCGCUGCAGUUGGCGGCACGAGGCAGCACGAUCGUUGCCACCCUGCAGCGGCUGGCCGCCCACAUCCCGGCUGAGUUUACGGCCCCGAGUGGGACACCGUAUGCAAGGCUCAUAUUCGACUUCCGCUACUUCAAGCACCAGGAUCAGAUCGAAAAGAGCAUCGCGGACUCAGCAGAGCUGCUAGUUCUGGACAAGGAAUUCUACGACACGCACAUGGAGCUGCUGGAGAAGUUCAUGUCGCUUUUUAGAGGCAUCUACGGCUACGUAACCGAGCUGAACCGCUACGUGCGCGAGAUCCAAGACGGCCAGUACGUGGCCCAGACGCUGGAUACGGUGCUGGAGUCCUUGGAUGGUCGACAACUUCUCUGCGAGCUGUAUCACCUCUACGGUGUGAUGCUGCUCCUGAUGGACCACAAAAUUGGCGGCUUGGUGCGGGAGCGCAUCAUUGUAAGUUAUGUGCGGUACCGAGGCUCUGGGGAGGCACACACGGUGGAGGUGGCGGAGCUGUGUCGAGCCACGAGUCAGGGUGCAGGUGGGACUGCAGCUAUAGCCGGCAGCCCUGUCAAGCGCGCGCCGGUAUCACCAAGGGCUGCCGCUGGUAGUGGCACUGGCAUCAGCAACUACCCGAUCGACUACUUUGAGCGCGUUCCAGUGCAGAAAGGCGUUGUGGCGCGACUGCUGGCCUGCAUUCGGUCCGACGACAUCUACCGCAUGUCCAGCCAUUACCCGAACCCAGACCACCGCAGCGCUGCCAUGGCACUGCAAGGCGGUAUCGCGUUCGUACUCCUCUUCUUCUGCGGCGAUGUGCUGGUGCAGCAGCUGCCGGUAAUGAAGGAGUUGGUGGAGAAGCACUUUGCCGACAACUGGGUCGUUCACUACUACGGCGGGUACACGGCAGAUUUAUCUGUUGCCUGGGCGGCAUUUCCAGCAGCGCGCGCGGCGUUGCAGCGCACUCUUGAGUCGCACAGUGUCACCUAUCACUUGCAGCGCAUGCGUGGCGCGUUGGCACGCAGCACCGAGCGUGUGCAGGCAGUGCUGGAGGAGGGGAUGCUGACAGAGAACUAUGUCUUGGACAAUGUACACGCGUCGCUGUUGCCCAUCAUCACCGAAUCAAACGUGGUGCUGCGCUGGUUUGUGCUCCAAGGGGUGUGCUCUGCCUCGGCGUCAUCGCCGCCGGCGUCUCCGGUUUGCGGCGACCCCGAUGAAGCGAGCCUGCGCGCCGCCGCCUCUGCUGCUGGGCAGGCGGUGCGCGCCAGCUUUGAGAACGAUGAGCUUCUGACGCUCCUGUUGGCAACGGCGCAGCUGGAGCGCCACGUCCACUCGCGCUUCGCGGUAGUGCUGCAGGAGAAGACCGCGCGCUGGACAGGCGCAAGGCGACAGGCGGUGUCGCGCGUGCAGAAGCUGUCGCACUUCUUCUCGGAGGACAACCUGCUCGACACGUCUGUGCACGACGCAGAGCUGGAGCGGUGGUUUGCCGAAGUCGGUGCUCGUAUCGCCAACCUGCACAUGAAGCGGCAGAGCGCGAAGGCGACCCGGCGCAAGUUGCAACGGCUGGUGGCGGCGUUGGAGAACAUACAGGAGUUUGCCCAGGUGAACCAGCAGCUGCAGGUGCUGCAGUACGUCCGGGAGACGUGCGCAGACUUGCACCAGAUGCUGCAUUACCUGAACGCUGAGCGCCGUGUGCUUGGACGACUCGCCACCAUAACUGACUUCAGCUAUGCGUGGGAGCUGCUCUCUGCACACGGAUACCUCGUCCGCGAGCUGCAGGCCCGCAUUCGGCGGCAGCCAGUUGUAGCGGCGCAUAUGCAAGCACUCUUCGCGAAGCUCUCGUCGCUGCUUCACCUGCCGUGCAUCCGCAUCGAUGAAGGCAUCGCCGUCACCGCCGCGAGUGUUCUGGGAGUCGAUGUGCGACUCGAGCGGGCUCUGCAGUUCACCUCUACCUUUUACUCUGAGGAAGUGGUUUCGUUUCUGCGAAGCGUUCUACAGGUGAUUCCGACCUCCAUCUUCGAAGUCCUGAACAAAGUCAUGUACCUCCUCACGAAUGCGUUGCGGGAGUGCCCCAGCAAGCUGCAGCGCGACGAGUGGAAGCACUGGAGCCAGCUCGAGACGCGGGAGCAGCUCUGCGCGUGCACGGCCGACAUAGCCCGCUACGCAGCCGGGCUGCUGGCAAUGGAGGAAACGACAGUCGGUGUCGUGCGCGUCAACCCACAUCGACUCCUGGAAGACGGCAUACGCAAAGAGCUCGUUGAGCACAUUACGCGCGAGCUGCACGCCGGCAUCUGGUUUGACCGGUCCAAGCCGUCCACCGUCGAGGACCUCGACAAGGAGCUGGUGCAGCUGGGGGCCCGGCUGCGUGGUGUGCGGAACUCCUUCGAGUACAUACAGGACUUCGUUAACGUGCACGGGCUUAAAAUUUGGAUGGAGGAGUUUCAGCGCAUUGUCCGCUUCACCCUGCAGAUGGAAUGCAACGCCUUCUGGCCCAAAAAGGUGUACCCGUGGAGCUCGCCCUAUCAAUCCGCGAGCAUCACGAUCCCGUAUUUUGCGCCGGCGAGCCCGAAGGAUGCGUAUAGCUUCCUCGGUCACCUGGUCCAGCAUCUGCUGUACCUGACAGACCCGCGUGAGUCCAUCUACUUUCCUGCCUACGGUGCGUGGUUCACGCGGCGCCGGCUGUGUGAGUGCGUGGGGCCGCGCUUGUUUUCCCGCGUCGCGGAUGCGGUCGAUUGCACUGGGCUAGCCUGCCUCGACGAGCUCCUGAGCUCCAUCGCGGCCAAGGACAUGCAGCUGCUGGUGCAACGGCUUGCCGAGUCGGUGGCGUCGCUGGAGUCGGCGCAACGCGGCGCUGCGCAGGAGGUCUGGGCGCGGUGCAUGCCUACCUCCGGGACUCCUGAGAAAGACGCGUUUUUGAAGGAUUAUGAUCAGCUAGCCUCCAUUCUCGAGGCGUCGCCAGCGGCGCAGGAGGUUGGGGUCGUUGCGAUGCGACUUGGUCGCAUUGCCUUGAUUCGACAGCUGAUUGCCCACCAGCUGCGCUCAGACAGCAAGCAAGACAGCUCUGCGCUGGUUGCGUGCGUGCAGGCAGUCAACAACGCCGUCGUGGCAACCCUGGACAGCCACCUCGCCAAGGACCCGUUCGAGGCGAGGGCCGCCGGCCCUUCGCGAUCGUGCGCAGAGGUGUCGGAGGGGCUGGUGUGCGGAACGGCGCCGCUGCUGCGCUCUGUCGGCCUCACAGACCCGUUCGCGACGGUGUACGAUGUUGCGGACGGUGGCGGCGGUGUCUCGCCCAGUGGUGACAACACAACAGGCGAGUUCAGCUUUGGUGCACCUCCACCUGCGGCAGCCACCGCUGGCAGCGGCGCGGCUCGCCCCGUCGCGGUGCCGACGAAGUUGCCACUACCGCUCUUUGUCCUUCCGCUCUGCGUAGUGGUGCUGCUACACGUGCAGAAGUGUACCUACAGCCCGCGCUUCGACAGCUGCAUUCCGGCGGGGAAGGAAGACGACGUGGACCCCACCAUGCUCGCUGUCGGCGUGGUGACCCUACUGCAGCAGUUCCCGCUGGAGGCCACCCGUCUUCUUUUGCAGCUACUGGCACAGGUGGUGCGCGUGUCCAUCAUCGCCAGGACACCGACACCAAAGGGGAAGGGCAAGGGGGCGGCACCGCCGCUGGUGUGCCGCUGCGCCGACGCUCUCACAAUGUGGAUAGAGGUUCUUCAAGGCUACCUGCCGCGGUAUCCGGAAAAGGAGCGGUCGCAUGGGGUUCCACCCAGUGUUCCUGAUCGCUUCGCGCAGAGUGUGUGAAAGGUGGCGGUGGGGCGGGAGGCGACCACCGAACGUGGUGGACGCGUCCUCCGCAGCCCUAAGAAUUUGCCCAGGUGCCCUCAUGGCCCUAUCCAACAUAUCGUGUUUCUUCUGCUUCCGCUUCGCGGCACGCGGCUGUCUCCGUGCUUGCCUCCGCUUUUCGCAUCCCACUACUUUCUUCGCGUGCAGCCAUUUUGUCCAUCGUGCCCAUGAUAUGCCAGCCCCCCUCCCGACAAGUCAGCAGACAUAUACGCACGUACAACCACGACUAUGCCAAGCAGCAGGGCCGACCAACACCGCUUGGCGCCGCUCAGCCCACCGCAAUGCCACUGCGUACACCGCAGGCUAAGCCCAGAACGACGCUCGACAUCACUGCAACGCCGCGAAUGCCGAAAAACAGCAGGCGGGUGUGUACACCUGUUGAAAUGGUCGACACGAUGCGUAGUGAGCCGGCACAAGCGUGAUCACCAUGGCCACACGUCUCUUCGGCACGGCGCCAGCAACGACCUGUCCGCCGGCGCCACGAGUCCGCCAGUCCGUACCCCCGAUACCAUGGUGAGGUGACCGCACGUCAUCAGGGUUGCGUGCAAUGAGAAGAAAACGGAGUUUGCCGUAGGACAAUACUGUGCUCUUGUGUUGGCACGUCUGUUUAUGUACGUAUCUUGACCAUGAGCGUAUCCCGUGGGAGCCGCGACGGUUCUCGUCUCAGCUCGUCUGCGGCCACUAGAUGGCGAGCAGGUUCGGACGAGCCGCUUAGAAAAGCAGGCUCCACCCUCCCACCACCGCUGCGGUGUGUGUGUGUGUGUGUGUCUGAGCACCUCUGCCAGCUGGCAGGUCUUUUUUUUUCCGUUGAUGUAGACUCUUUCUCUUCCGCGUCUGCAUCGAUGCACCCCUCCUCUCUCUCUGUCCGACGGUUGAACGGGAUGCAACGCCCUCGGUGAUAG